AAAGGAAUGACUGAGUGGUUUAAAGUGGCAGACUGUAAAUCUGUUAAGCAAUGUCUUAUCGUAGGUUCAAAUCCUACUUCCUUUA
RNAcentral lists this transfer RNA (85 nucleotides) under Thalassiosira oceanica. It matches the Rfam family "tRNA". From Rfam's summary of the family: Transfer RNA (tRNA) molecules are approximately 80 nucleotides in length. Lineage: Eukaryota; Bacillariophyta; Thalassiosirophyceae; Thalassiosirales; Thalassiosiraceae. The record is from Rfam by way of RNAcentral.